This is a non-coding RNA of Cyanistes caeruleus (blue tit), 1132 nucleotides long. The record is from RefSeq and is a predicted model, not a curated record. Lineage: Eukaryota; Metazoa; Chordata; Aves; Passeriformes; Paridae.
GAUUACAUCUGGAAGGACCAGCCUGGUGUCUCCAGCUGUGACCUCCAGCGCCAGGAUGCCAUCCCCGACGCCGCAGCCAGCUGGGAAGGCAGCACCACUGCUCACAUCUGUGUCUACACGCUUCACCUCAGCGGCUUCCAGGAGCUCUACAGGCACUUCCUCAGGCUGCCUGAUGGGGCUAUCAUUGAGGCAUUUGGUGAUGUUAGUGAGGAAAGUCUUCUGUGUAAAGUGAGCACAGACCAGGAGCAUAUAAGGGAAAAGAACAGUGUGUUGCCUACAUCUACAUGUAUCAAGCUGAGAGAGAGGAAAAAGAGUACAGCAAGGUGGAAAGGAAAUCAUGUUGUCUCUGACAAGAGCUAGUUCCUGCAGCACUACAUGGUCCAUGGAGUUGUGUACAUCGUGAUCCACAUCCAUGGUAUUGCCUACUGUCUGAUAGGACCUACAUUUCUGAUGGCCACAUCUCUGCCCAUGCAGUGUUGUCCUGUGAAUGCCCCAUUUGUAGCUCUUCUGUGGCUUCAACAAGCUGUGCAGUGGGGUGAACUUAUGGGAUCAGAUCACAUAUUGGAUCCUGCAAACAUAAUGAUCUCAUGUGACUUUUUUUUUCCCUUUCCAGUUGUGGGACAUUCCUAAAUUUCUCAGGUUUGCUUGUUUCUGUUUUUUCAGCUUUGCUUGUAUCUGUUAGCUGUGGUGGGGAUUUUUUUUCUGUUUUUUCUGAUUUUCUGGUGUCCCUUUGUUCACACUGCUAUGGUAAAAGUUUUUCAGAUGCAUUUAUCUUUUUAAGAUCUUACCCAAUAUCUUGAGCAUUGUUGCUAAAUAGCAUAGUUCUUAAUAGCUAUAGUUCUCAUCCACCUGAAUAAACAUUAAAUUACAUUAGGUAGUAACUUAAAGGUUUAAAUGUCACUCUUGAGCAUAAUUUUAAUUUGGGUAUGCAAGAUAGUGGUUUGGUUUCCCCCUCUUUUCUUGGUUUUAUUUUUUUCCCCCAGUUUAUUUGUGUGCAUGUACAUAUGUCUGUGGUUAUUUUAUGACUUAUGCCCAGACAGAAAUGGUGUAAAAAGCCCUCUGAAUAUCUACAAUAAUUGAUGUGAUUUUUGUGGUUUUUAUUGCAUAAGAUAUUACUUGGAUUACUUCUCUC